UCUGUGGGUCAAGAAUUUAGACAAGGCACCAUGGGGUCAUGAGCCUAGUGUCUCACCUUGGAAGACUAAGUCGCUGGGGGCACCAUGACAGCUGGCCGCUGGAAUCAUCUGAGUAUCAUCACCCACAUGUCUGGAGGUUGACGCUGGCUGUCAGAUGGGGUCUUGCUCUGUCACCGAGGCUGGAGUACAGUAACAUGAUCUCGGCUCACUGCAACCUCUGCCUCCAAGGUUCAAGCGAGUCUCCGACCUCAGUCUCCUGAGUAGCUAGGACUACAGGCACCUCGUCCAUGCCAGGCCUGAUGCCAGCCCCAGGGAAGACAAUAACUCAGCCUUGCAGUUCACUUUGUAGUUCACAAAGUGCUUCCAUUAUAAGAGUCACGGCUACCCUGCAAAACAGAGUCUUGGACUAUCGCCAGGCACCAGGCUGGAGUGUAAUGGCGCGAUCUCGGCUCACCGCAACCUCUGUCUCCCAGGUUCAAGCAAUUCUCCUGCCUCAGCCUCCCGAGUAGCUGGGACCACAGGCACGUGCGACCAUGCCCAGCUAAUUUUUGUAUUUUUAGUAGAGACGGGGUUUCACCAUGUUGGCCAGGAUGGUCUCAAUCUCUUGACCUCGCGAUCCGCCUGUCUCGGCCUCCCAAAGUGCUGGGAUUACAGGCGUGACCCACCAUGUCCGGUGCAGAAUCUGCAUUUUAACAAGUCCCCUGGGGGAUU
Molecule: non-coding RNA, 711 nt
Organism: Callithrix jacchus (white-tufted-ear marmoset)
Lineage: Eukaryota; Metazoa; Chordata; Mammalia; Primates; Cebidae
Source: RefSeq, a predicted model, not a curated record